RNAcentral lists this transfer RNA (86 nucleotides) under Phascolarctobacterium sp. RNAcentral describes it as "tRNA-Leu". It matches the Rfam family "tRNA". Rfam says of the family: Transfer RNA (tRNA) molecules are approximately 80 nucleotides in length. Lineage: Bacteria; Bacillati; Bacillota; Negativicutes; Acidaminococcales; Acidaminococcaceae. The record is from RNAcentral.
GCGGUCGUGGUGGAACGGCAGACACGCUGCUUUGAGGGGGCAGUGGGAGAAAUCCCGUGUGGGUUCAAAUCCCACCGACCGCACCA